AUGUAUAGUUGACAAAUUCAGUGAGCUCGAGAUAAAGGAGAGAAACAAGCUAAUGAACACUCGAUGAGUUGAUAGACUUGUUAUGAAACAUAAAUGAAGCACGACAUGAACAUCCUUGACAAACUAGAGUCAGUUCAGUUUGGUUAUAGACCUUCGUUGUGAAAUGGUUUGGUUCUUCCUUCUUAUAUUUUCAACACUACUUAUGUUGAUUUAUAUCGUAAUAAGACUACAAUAUACGCGAUGUACUAGUAACGAAUGCCUUAUAGGAAAAACAGCAGUUAUAACUGGAGGAAGUUCAGGUUAAAAAGAAGAACGACCCAUACAUAUUCAUUGAGAUAUGAAGAAGUCAAACACUGAAGACAUUAAAACGAACAAAACUUUUUUAAACAAACUAUUAACUUCAUUUCUCCAUUUACAAAAAAAUUGAAAAAAUUAAAAUAUUUUUUUUGUUGGUAACCGAACUUGGAUUCAACUUUUAAUUGUACGCCUUUCGAUACUUCAUUGAACGAAAAAUAUAUGUAGUGAAUAUGAAAAGAAGUUAUAUAGUUUUUCGUAAGUUAUAGAGAAUUGAAAAAUCGAACAUAAUAAAUGAAAUCACCCUGUGUCUUGAAUAUAAAAAAAUCUGGAACCUAUUGAAUAUAAGUUGUUUAGAAUGA
Molecule: long non-coding RNA, 656 nt
Organism: Leptinotarsa decemlineata (Colorado potato beetle)
Lineage: Eukaryota; Metazoa; Arthropoda; Insecta; Coleoptera; Chrysomelidae
Source: RefSeq, a predicted model, not a curated record